GCAGAGCGUGAGAAUUGGUUAGUUUUUCAUCUCGGUGGCCUAAUUAUAGAAAGGGAGCUGUCCCUGUAUAGAUUGUGGUCUAUAUAUAUGGCGCCCACCUGGAAUCUGGCCAUCUGCAGAUUCUCGGCAACGGUUUUCAGGCUCUGCA
This 148-nucleotide non-coding RNA is filed under the name Holosporaceae bacterium. RNAcentral describes it as "6S RNA". It matches the Rfam family "6S / SsrS RNA". Rfam says of the family: E. coli 6S RNA was the first non coding RNA to be sequenced, but its function was unknown until recently. It consists of 184 nucleotides that fold into an extended hairpin structure with a large single-stranded internal bulge. Lineage: Bacteria; Pseudomonadati; Pseudomonadota; Alphaproteobacteria; Holosporales; Holosporaceae. The record is from RNAcentral.